UACGGGGGGGGCGAGCGUUGUUCGGAAUUACUGGGCGUAAAGGGCGCGUAGGCGGCCUGCUAAGUCACGCGUGAAAUCCCUCGGCUCAACCGGGGAACUGCGUGUGAUACUGGCGGGCUUGAAUUCGGGAGAGGGAUGUGGAAUUCCAGGUGUAGCGGUGAAAUGCGUAGAUAUCUGGAGGAACACCGGUGGCGAAGGCGGCAUCCUGGACCGAGAUUGACGCUGAGGCGCGAAAGCUAGGGGAGCAAACGGG
RNAcentral lists this ribosomal RNA (253 nucleotides) under uncultured bacterium. Its description in RNAcentral is "partial 16S ribosomal RNA". It matches the Rfam family "Bacterial small subunit ribosomal RNA", at positions 524 to 776 of the family's 1533-position model. The record is from RNAcentral.